Molecule: ribosomal RNA, 4542 nt
Filed under: Triticum aestivum (bread wheat)
Lineage: Eukaryota; Viridiplantae; Streptophyta; Magnoliopsida; Poales; Poaceae
Description: partial small subunit ribosomal RNA
Source: RNAcentral
GACGCAAAGAAAAUUCCGCAGGGCCAAACCAAACGAACCGAGACGCGCAACGCCCACACUGCGCUCCUCUGAUCUGCGUUCGUCUUCCUUCUCACACCACUUCCUCCCAAAUCCCCCCCGCGCUUCCUGAUUCGAAGAACCCUAGCGCCCGCCAUUUGAUGCGGCGGCGCCCGCCAUGUCGUCCUGGGGCCUGGGCUGGAAGCGCAGCUCCGAGAUCUUCCACCUCACCCUCGACUACGGCGACUUCGCCGACGAGCCCGAUCAGGACCCCUCCUCGCCCCCGGCCCCGCCCCCGCAGUCCCCCACCGCCGCGUCGCCCACCGCCUCCUCCUCCUCGCCCGUCGCCACCAUGAACGGCGACCUCGGCUUCCGCAUCGAGCUCGACUGGUCCACCAGCGACGACGAGGACCAGGUCGCGCUGCGCCUCCAGUCCCAGCUCAUGGUCGCGCUGCCCCCGCCCCACGACGUCGUCUGCGUCGAUCUCAGGCCCGCCGACGACGGGGACGAGGUGGGGGUGGAGAUGCGGGUCGUCAGGAGACGGGAGGCGCUGCGCUCGGUGCGGGUCGCGCGGGCGCUGGGCUCCACGCAGAGCACCGGCGACGGCGCCGUUGUCCUCGCGCGCCUCAUCAGAUCCAACCUCGCGCCCGCACCGGCUGCUGAUGGAGCCGUCGCCGCAGGGGUGCCCGUGCUCGCCGACCACUGGCGCUCCGUCACGGUGCUCAGCCUCUGCAACUGCGGCCUCAUGGUGCUUCCGGUUGAACUAACUCGCCUUUCGUUUCUUGAGAAGCUAUAUAUUGACAACAAUAAAUUGUCAGUUUUGCCACCUGAAGUUGGUGACUUGAAGAACUUGAAAGUGCUUACAGCUGACAACAACAUGCUAGUUUCUGUCCCUGUAGAACUGCGGCAAUGUGUUUUGCUGGAGGAAUUAUCACUAGAACACAACAAGCUUGUCCGUCCAUUAUUGGAUUUCAGGUCAGUGCCUAAGCUGCGUGUAUUGCGCUUGUUCGGAAAUCCCCUAGAGUUUCUUCCAGAAAUUUUGCCGCUGCAUAACCUUAGACAUCUCACACUUGCAAAUAUUAGAAUUGAUGCACUUGAAAGUCUUAAGUCUGUCACUGUGGAAAUAGAGACUGAGAACUAUUCCUACUUCAUUGCGGCCAGGCACAAACUUAGUGCCUUCUUUUCGCUUGUUUUCCGGUUCUCUUCCUGUCACCACCCUUUGCUGGCCUCUGCGUUGGCCAAAAUAAUGGAAGAUCGUACCAAUCAAGUUGCCAUUAGCAAAGAAGAAAAUGCUGUCAGACAGCUUAUCAGCAUGAUAAGCAGUGAUAACCGUCACGUGGUCGAGCAAGCAUGCCUUGCUCUUUCGUCACUGGCGUCAGAUAUUUCAUCAGCAAUGCAGCUGAUUAAGUGUGAUAUUAUGAAGCCUAUAGAAGCUGUACUGAAAUCAUUUGAUGAUGAAGAAUUAAUAUCAGUAUUGCAAGUUGUGGUCACAUUAACUUUUGUUUCUGAUCAUGUUGCUCAAAAGAUGUUGAGAAAAGAUGUGCUGAAGUCACUGAAAGCACUUUGUGCACACAAGAACUCUGAGGUGCAACGCUUAUCUCUAUUUGCAGUUGGCAAUUUGGCUUUCUGCUUGGAGACUCGUCGCACCCUCAUUCACUCUGAGAGCUUACGUGACCUCUUAAUUCGCUCUACUUUUUCACAAGAGAAGCGUGUCAGCAAGGCAGCUGCUCGCGCUCUCGCAAUUCUAGGGGAGAACGAGAACUUGCGUCGGGCAAUAAGAGGGAGACCAGUUGCAAAGAAGGGUCUGCGCAUUCUUUCAAUGGAUGGUGGUGGCAUGAAGGGCCUUGCAACUGUCCAAAUGCUAAAACAGAUAGAGCAAGGAACUGGGAAGCGCAUACAUGAAAUGUUUGACCUCAUAUGUGGUACAUCAACAGGUGGCAUGCUUGCGAUGGCUCUUGGAAUCAAGCAGAUGAGUUUGGAUCAGUGUGAAGAGAUAUAUACAAAACUUGGUAAACUUGUAUUUGCGGAACCUGUCCCUAAGGACGAAGCUGCUACAUGGAAGGAGAAACUUGAUCAACUUUUCAAAAGUUCAUCACAGAGUUUUAGAGUGGUUGUACAUGGGUCGAAGCACAGCGCAGAUCAAUUUGAGAGGUUACUAAAGGAAAUGUGUGCUGAUGAUGACGGUGACCUUCUAAUAGAGUCUUCUGUGAAAGGCAUUCCGAAGGUUUUUGCUGUAUCAACUUUAGUCAGCGCCAUGCCUGCCCAACCAUAUAUAUUCCGGAACUAUCAGUAUCCACCGGGCACUCUGGAGGUAUCACCAGGAAUGGCAGAAAGUCCAUCUCCUGGCGCAGUUGGAACGGUUGUUUCUGGUGCACCAGUUGGGAUUAAACGUGGAGCUUUUAUGGGGAGCUGCAAGCAUCACGUAUGGGAAGCCAUAAGAGCAUCAUCUGCAGCUCCAUAUUAUCUGGAUGAUUUCUCUGAUGAUGUAAAUCGCUGGCAAGAUGGAGCGAUUGUAGCGAACAAUCCCACGAUCUUUGCAAUAAGAGAAGCACAACUUUUGUGGCCUGAUACGAGAAUAGAUUGCCUAGUUUCAAUAGGGUGUGGCUCAGUUCCAACUAAGAGCCGGAGAGGUGGAUGGCGCUACUUGGACACUGGGCAAGUUUUAAUAGAAAGUGCAUGCUCAGUGGAGAGAGUGGAAGAAACUUUGGAUACACUGAUACCUAUGCUUCCUGAGAUGCAAUAUUUCCGCUUUAAUCCAGUUGAUGACCGGUGUGGUAUGGAGUUAGAUGAGACUGACCCGGCUGUCUGGCUUAAGUUGGAGGCUGCAACCGAAGAGUAUAUUCAGAAAAAUUUAGAGGUUUUUAAGAAUGUUUGUGAGCUUUUAGUUCCAAGAUAUCAAGAGGAAGAGAAGUCUUCUGGAAUUGUCAAAUCCCUGUCAUUUUCAAGAUUGAGUACAUCAAAAUCAGGUUUAAGUGAAAGUAAUCCUACCUUGGGAUGGAGACGUGUGGUUCUACUUGUAGAGGCUUCAUUUAAUCCUGAUUUUGGAAAGAAGAUAAAUCAUACUCGUUCGCUUGAAGCAUUCUGUUCUCAGAAUGGUAUUAGGCUUACUCUAAUGAAUAGCACUUCUGGAUUUGGAAAGCCAACUACUGCACUCCCAACUCCAAUUACCUCUCCCUUGUUUACUGGGAGUUUUCCAUCUAGUCCACUUCUGUAUAGUCCAGAAGGCACUCAACGGAUUGGUCGAAUUGACCUAGUUCCGCCGCUUAGCCUGGAUGGUCACCCAGCUAUGAAGUCAUCACCACCAACAUCGCCAAUAAAGUCAUGGCAGCCAUCUGGACAUGUUCGGUCACUGUAUGACAAGUUGCAAAAUAUGCCUCAGGUUGGUGUGAUACACCUGGCUCUUCAAAAUGAUUCAACUGGUUCGAUAUUGAGCUGGCAGAAUGACGUAUUUGUAGUUGCUGAGCCAGGGGAACUUGCAGACAGGUUUCUGCAGUGUGUCAAAACAAGCUUGUCUACCAUGCUGCAUGGAUCUAAAAGAAAGGGUGCAUAUUCUGUUUCAAAGAUUUCAUGUUUGUCUGAGUUAGUUGCGGAAUGGCCAUCGUUUGAAAUCGGUGGGAUACAUCACCGCUAUAUAGGACGCCAAACACAAGUAGGAACUGCCUUUUCCUUUUCUUUGUUUCCUAGACAGGUCAUUGGGUAUGCUAAGUUUCCUUGUCGCAGGUGAUGGAAGAUAACCAAGAAAUUGGUGCCUAUAUGUUCAGGAGGACAGUGCCUGCUUGUCACAUGUCACCUGAAGAUGUUCGCUGGAUGGUUGGAGCAUGGAGGGAGAGGAUUAUUGUGUGCAGUGGCAAGUAUGGUCUUGCUCAUGGCCUCGUCAAGGCAUUCGUGGAUUCUGGUGCCAAAGCAGUCAUCUCGUCAUCUGUCGAGCCUCCAGAUUCCCAGGCAAUCGCAUACCAUGGGAUGGAUGUAAGUGGAAGCCUCGAGAAUGGGAAGUUUGUCAUUGGGGAUGAUGAAGCUGAUGAGUCGGAGCCUGAACCUGUUAGCCCUAUAAGUGACUGGGAAGACAGCGAUGCUGAGAAAAACGGUGAAGGCAACAAAGAUAUUGAUGAAGAGGAGUACUUGGCUCAGUUUAUCUGCCUCUUAUAUGACAAGUUGUUCCGUGAGGGAGUCACAGUGGACACUGCUCUUCAACAAGCACUCCGCGCACAUCCUAGGUUGAAGUACAGCUGCCAUCUACCGAAUGUUUCGUAGUUAGUGAUAUUCACAACCCAUACAAAAUACGAAAUUGAUAAUACUAGAAAAAAAUAAGGAUCGUGUGGAUUCGUAAUGGGGUUAUAGAAUUCUUUUUACGAGGAAGGGGUUAUAGAGUUUAUACUCGUGUUCACUGUGCAGGCGGAGGUAGGUGAAAUCUUCCGCAGUUGUAAAACUGUAGUACAUAGAGCAUGUACUGAUGGAGACUAAUAGGAAAGCAAAUGAAAUAAAUGUUGAAGGCUUUGUACUGUGGUAGUGUUUCUGUUGAGAUUCAAAUGCCUGCGGUGUUAUUGU